GAGCUUGCUCCUCUGACGUUAGCGGCGGACGGGUGAGUAACACGUGGAUAACCUACCUAUAAGACUGGGAUAACUUCGGGAAACCGGAGCUAAUACCGGAUAAUAUAUUGAACCGCAUGGUUCAAUAGUGAAAGACGGUUUUGCUGUCACUUAUAGAUGGAUCCGCGCCGCAUUAGCUAGUUGGUAAGGUAACGGCUUACCAAGGCAACGAUGCGUAGCCGACCUGAGAGGGUGAUCGGCCACACUGGAACUGAGACACGGUCCAGACUCCUACGGGAGGCAGCAGUAGGGAAUCUUCCGCAAUGGGCGAAAGCCUGACGGAGCAACGCCGCGUGAGUGAUGAAGGUCUUCGGAUCGUAAAACUCUGUUAUUAGGGAAGAACAAAUGUGUAAGUAACUAUGCACGUCUUGACGGUACCUAAUCAGAAAGCCACGGCUAACUACGUGCCAGCAGCCGCGGUAAUACGUAGGUGGCAAGCGUUAUCCGGAAUUAUUGGGCGUAAAGCGCGCGUAGGCGGUUUUUUAAGUCUGAUGUGAAAGCCCACGGCUCAACCGUGGAGGGUCAUUGGAAACUGGAAAACUUGAGUGCAGAAGAGGAAAGUGGAAUUCCAUGUGGUAG
RNAcentral lists this ribosomal RNA (618 nucleotides) under Staphylococcus epidermidis. Its description in RNAcentral is "bacterial SSU rRNA". It matches the Rfam family "Bacterial small subunit ribosomal RNA", at positions 76 to 678 of the family's 1533-position model. Lineage: Bacteria; Bacillati; Bacillota; Bacilli; Caryophanales; Staphylococcaceae. The record is from RNAcentral.